GUGUCAGCAGCCGCGGUAACACCGGCAGCUCGAGUGGUAGCCGCGUUUAUUGGGCCUAAAGCGUCCGUAGCCGGUCCGAUAAGUCUCUGGUGAAAGCCCACAGCUUAACUGUGGGAAUCGCUGGAGAUACUGUCGGACUUGAGGCCGGGAGAGGCUGGAGGUACUCCCAGGGUAGGGGUGAAAUCCUGUAAUCCUGGGAGGACCACCUGUGGCGAAGGCGUCCAGCUGGAACGAACCUGACGGUGAGGGACGAAAGCCAGGGGCGCGAACCGGAUUAGAUACCCGGGUAGUCCUGGCCGUAAACGAUGUGGACUUGGUGUUGGGAUGGCUUCGAGCUGCCCCAGUGCCGAAGGGAAGCUGUUAAGUCCACCGCCUGGGGAGUACGGUCGCAAGAUUAAAACUCAAAGGAAUUGGCGG
This 417-nucleotide ribosomal RNA is filed under the name uncultured bacterium. Its description in RNAcentral is "bacterial SSU rRNA". It matches the Rfam family "Archaeal small subunit ribosomal RNA", at positions 455 to 871 of the family's 1478-position model. The record is from RNAcentral.